CAGUACGUGACGGAAUGGUUAACGUGUCCGCUUUGGGAGCGGGAAAUUGAAGGUUCGAGUCCUUCCGUACUGA
RNAcentral lists this transfer RNA (73 nucleotides) under Sphingobacteriales bacterium. Its description in RNAcentral is "tRNA-Pro". It matches the Rfam family "tRNA". Rfam says of the family: Transfer RNA (tRNA) molecules are approximately 80 nucleotides in length. Their secondary structure includes four short double-helical elements and three loops (D, anti-codon, and T loops). Lineage: Bacteria; Pseudomonadati; Bacteroidota; Sphingobacteriia; Sphingobacteriales. The record is from RNAcentral.